CAUGCUCUUUGAUCUAAUUACUAAUAAAAACCCAGCUCAAGAGAGCUCGGGACGCCUGCUUAACAAACCUCUUGACUCCGCGUCUCCUUGAUCCCAACAUCUGGUGACCCCGACGUGAUUCACCGGAUCCCGAGGACCCCUGCUCAUCCGACUGGAAUAGUCUAGGUGCACCCGCUGGAAACAGCCACUCGUGGCGGCGUUGGUACACCGAAUAUCCCUGCACAAACCUCAACGGCACAACGGCAUUAUCAGACGACCGAAGUUCUUCCUGCUCCAAAGGUAACCUAUCGUCAGCUACCUGGCCCGGAGUGGAGCGGACCUGUGCCACUAAUCACCUGGGGGCGCGGUUACGCAGCUGUAUCAACACCAAGCGGCCCGCUCUGGGUACCUGCACGAUACGUUCGACCAUACAAGGAUGGCGUGGCAUCAGGGACUGAGCAACCCCAUCCCUGACUUCAACAUACACUUAUAUGAUGAACAAGCAAAUGUUUGCAUAUGUUAUUGUUAUAGCUGCAGGAUUAAUACUUUGUUGCUGCAUAUUACAGUGUAUUCCUUCUUCACUUAUUAGCCUAUUUGUCCAAGGCUGCCCUUGGCAACGACUUAAUACAAAACAGAGCAUUCAUUAUGCCUGCAAAUUGCUUAAAAACAAAAAGGGGGAGAUGUAGUGAAACAUGCUGUGCUGGCAAACCACACACGUGUUUAUUACAUUUACUCCUGGCUUAAGGUAAAGCAAUGCUCAGGUUAUUGAUUAAGCAUAGA
Long non-coding RNA from Mauremys reevesii (Reeves's turtle), 759 nucleotides. RefSeq lists it as uncharacterized. NCBI's taxonomy places the organism in Eukaryota, Metazoa, Chordata, Testudines, Geoemydidae. The record is from RefSeq and is a predicted model, not a curated record. The transcript is spliced from 3 exons.